GAUGAACGCUGGCGGCAUGCCUAAUACAUGCAAGUCGAGCGAACAGACGAGGAGCUUGCUCCUCUGACGUUAGCGGCGGACGGGUGAGUAACACGUGGAUAACCUACCUAUAAGACUGGGAUAACUUCGGGAAACCGGAGCUAAUACCGGAUAAUAUAUUGAACCGCAUGGUUCAAUAGUGAAAGACGGUUUUGCUGUCACUUAUAGAUGGAUCCGCGCCGCAUUAGCUAGUUGGUAAGGUAACGGCUUACCAAGGCAACGAUGGGUAGCCGAACUGAGCGGGUGAUCGGCCACACUGGAACUGAGACACGGUCCAGACUCCUACGGGAGGCAGCAGUAGGGAAUCUUCCGCAAUGGGCGAAAGCCUGACGGAGCAACGCCGCGUGAGUGAUGAAGGUCUUCGGAUCGUAAAACUCUGUUAUUAGGGAAGAACAAAUGUGUAAGUAACUAUGCACGUCUUGACGGUACCUAAUCAGAAAGCCACGGCUAACUACGUG
RNAcentral lists this ribosomal RNA (497 nucleotides) under uncultured bacterium. RNAcentral describes it as "partial 16S ribosomal RNA". It matches the Rfam family "Bacterial small subunit ribosomal RNA", at positions 28 to 507 of the family's 1533-position model. The record is from RNAcentral.